GAUGAACGCUGGCGGCGUGCCUAAUACAUGCAAGUCGAACGAGGUGCCUUUGUAGCAAUACGAAGGUAUCCUAGUGGCGAACGGGUGAGUAACGCGUUGGUGACCUACCCCAAAGUGUGGGAUAACAGAUCGAAAGAUCUGCUAAUACCGCAUGUGGUCUUCGGAUUUAGAAACUGAUGACUAAAGGAGCAAUUCGCUUUGGGAGGGACCUGCGUCCCAUCAGCUAGUUGGUGAGGUAAUGGCUCACCAAGGCUACGACGGGUAGGGGACCUGAGAGGGUGGCCCCCCACAAUGGAACUGAAACACGGUCCAUACACCUACGGGUGGCAGCAGUAGGGAAUAUUGCACAAUGGGCGAAAGCCUGAUGCAGCAACGCCGCGUGUGCGAUGAAGGCCUUCGGGUCGUAAAGCACUUUUCUGAGGGAUGAGCAAGGACAGUACCUCAGGAAUAAGUCUCGGCUAACUACGUGCCAGCAGCCGCGGUAAU
Molecule: ribosomal RNA, 486 nt
Filed under: uncultured bacterium
Lineage: Bacteria
Description: bacterial SSU rRNA
Rfam family: Bacterial small subunit ribosomal RNA
Source: RNAcentral